This 52-nucleotide microRNA precursor is filed under the name Loxodonta africana (African savanna elephant). RNAcentral's name for it is "mir-1302 microRNA precursor family". It matches the Rfam family "mir-1302 microRNA precursor family". The record is from Rfam by way of RNAcentral. Lineage: Eukaryota; Metazoa; Chordata; Mammalia; Proboscidea; Elephantidae.
UUUUAAAUGUAAGUAUGUCCCAUGCCAUACUGGGGACAUAGUUAUACUAAAA